Molecule: long non-coding RNA, 298 nt
Filed under: Homo sapiens (human)
Lineage: Eukaryota; Metazoa; Chordata; Mammalia; Primates; Hominidae
Description: HSALNT0172229
Source: RNAcentral
GUCUUUCUGGCUGCUCCCAACUUCGCACUCUACUUCUGCUCCAUCCUAGGGUGCCUCUGCAGCAGCAAAUGUGGCUGUUCAACAAUCUGAAGUCUUUGAUUGUGAACAGUGCUAACCAGCCCUGGGAAAGAAAAGCAGCUCUCUUCCCUGCUCUCCAGGGCUAGCAGAUGAACACUGUGGGGUCGAGCCCAGUCUGGCCAGAGCAAGUCCAGGAAAAGGUGCUUCUCACUCUUCAGGGCACUGCUCAGAUCCCCAAGCAUAAUUUUGGAAACUCUGAUCCAGAACCCUGGAUCGCAGG